This 512-nucleotide unclassified non-coding RNA is filed under the name Hevea brasiliensis (rubber tree). The record is from RNAcentral. Lineage: Eukaryota; Viridiplantae; Streptophyta; Magnoliopsida; Malpighiales; Euphorbiaceae.
GAAGCAUGUGAAUUAUGAUUAAUGCCGUUGUUUAAACAUGAGCAGGAAAGAAUACAUUUUCCAGUAACCCUUUCCAAUCGAACGAAAUUUUUAUUUGUAUUACUUCGUUAUUAGAUGGAUAGCUCCAAAUGAAUUUAUUACAGAUUACAUAGAGUUAUAGAACCAUUUCCAAAUCAUCUUUUUAUUCAUGCACAAGGCUAUAGGUAAUAUUCAUUUAUAUCUCUCACUAAAGAAGACUAAUUUCUUAAACCAGAAGAUUUCUGCAUAUAAUGUGUGUUGUCCCCAUCUUUUCUAUUUUGGUGCUUUGAAAUAAAUGAAAUCUAGUUGAUAGUUCUUUUGACGUGCAAGGUUAGCUCUUCGUUGCCGAAUCUUCUUUCUGAAAGCUGCCUCAAAUGAAGGUAUGCAUUUGUAUGAAGCAUACCGGUGUGGGAAAAUGAUAGUUCCAAAUCUGUUUGUUGAUGUCAAACCGAUAUGGGGAAAUUCCUCCUAGUUUUAUGGAACUCCUUAUGUCU